GGAAGGAAGCAUUGUUACUUUACUUCCGGUCUAGGACGGAAGUUGUGCUCGGCCGCUCCGGAUUCCUCUGGGCCCGGCGUGAUGAAGGCCAUCAUCCAACGUGUCACUCGAGCCAGGGUGUCAGUUGGUGAGGAACAAAUAAGCUCCAUUGGACGUGGUAUUUGUGUGCUGCUGGGUAUCUCUGUGGAAGACACGCAGAAAGAGCUGGAGCACAUGGUUCGAAAGAUAUUAAAUCUUCGUGUGUUUGAAGAUGAAAGUGGGAAACACUGGUCUAAAAGUGUGAUGGAUAAGCAGUACGAAGUGCUGUGUGUUAGCCAGUUUACUCUUCAAUGUAUCCUGAAAGGAAAUAAGCCAGAUUAUCAUAUGGCAAUGCCUUCUGACCAAGCAGAAUCUUUCUACAACAGUUUUUUAGAGCACCUUCGCAAAGCAUACAAGCCAGAAUUAAUUAAAGAUGGCAAAUUUGGCGAAUACAUGCAGGUACAUAUUCAGAAUGAUGGACCUGUGACCAUUGAACUGGAGUCUCCUGCAGCCCCUGUUGACUCUAAACAAUUAACAAAACUUGAGAAACAACAACAGAGGAAAGAGAAAACCAGAAUGAAAGUCCCUUCUGAAUCAAGCAGAGAACGAAAUCUUCCUAGAAGUAAAAAUGAUCCAAGUGCAAGCAGUGGGGCUGAAGGGGAUGUUUCUUCUGAAAGGGAACCGUAACUUCUCAAAGCACCUUUAGGUCAGACAUGUCAAACUCGUGACGUUACGUGACGUCGCGCAACGUGGGCCGGCAGUUUGACACCCCUGCUGUAGGUGCUUUAUAUUUCCUUGUGUGCUGAGACAAAUUGCAACUUGAUUUAAAUGAAUGCUGAUGUUUGCAUAAAACAUGGCACUUAGCCCAAGGCAGUGAUUAAAAGAGACACUAUAAUUUGGAAAGAUUGCUGGCUCAGCUCUUAGCUUGUGAUGAAAUCACUAGAUUUCUCCACCUCUCUUUGCAACAUGUGGAUAGCAAUGGUGCUGUUUUACUGUAGAGGAGUGAAAGAGUGACUAAGGAUAUAUCAUUCAGAUAAUAGUUUAAAAUAGAACCUCAACCAACUCUGGGCUACCUUGUCUUGAGCAAGGCUUCCCUUUUGGCUUUUAGUUAAACAUGAACCAUUGUUUGCCAAGAUGUCCAACUUGAUAAGUUGUGAUUAGUACCUGCCCUCAAACCAGAAUUAACUUUCUGAUUCAAGGACAAGUGUUAUUCACAAUUUUCCUAUUCAAACCUCACAGCACAUUAUGAUAUCACAUUAAAGGAAUUUGUGCCUAUGAUGCCAUGGUGCAUAAAAUUGCCAUAUCUAUAACAUCUGAAAUAUUUUGAACAUACAAAAUAUUGUAUAACUGCUAAUCUACUCUUUUUAUUUCCCAAGAAGAGCAAGUCGGUGCUUUAAAGACUGAUUGAUAUGAUUAAAAAAAAAAAUCCAUCUAGUAUCACCAGAUCAAUACAGGUGACACUGCUUGCCUGGCAAAGCUGUCAUCUAAUUGUGUCACUGGAUUGCUGGAACAAUUUAUUUUAACCUUGAGAAGGAAUUAAUUAGCAAAUGUGUGGGCUGAGUAAUAUUUGUCCACAUGAUGGAGCAAUUUGACAAUUACUUCAUGGUGAAUUUUCUGUAAGUCCUGAGACUAUUUUUGGUAAAGGGUCUGACUCACUGAACACUUUGCGCAAUUUUCCUCACUGAGUUCAAUGACAGUUUCAUAAAAUUCUGAAAGGAAGUCAUUCAAUCAAACAGCUUUCCAUGUUUUCAUUUUGAAAAUUGCUUUUGCUCUCUCGCUUCCCAACAUGAAGAUAUUUAAAACAAGCAUACUGGGCAAUGGUAACAUGAUGUCUCUUCAUUUUAAAUCCUUCUGUAAGAGAGUAAGCUUGGAAUAAAUAAGGGGAAAGGGGAAAGAAUGGUUCAAAUUCAAUGACAUAGUAAAGAAAAAAGAAUAUGUUGAAGGAAAAGUAUCCAAAUAUCAGAAUACAGACUGCUCUGAUAGAAGAGGAUGAACUAAGUAUCAUCAAAACUCUAGUGACCACAGAGAUAGACCUCCAGAAUGAUUGGUCCCCAGUCUGGUCUUCAGAUCUUUCAAUAAUGUACCCAUGACCACUGUAAUCAAACUUGGUGCUGAUCAUUUUUUUCUUCUGUUUCCUUCCACCUUUCUCUGCAUUAUAAACUUCUCAAGAGAGUUGGGUCUUCACAUGAUGUGUCCAUAAUACAAAAAAUUGAGUCUUGGAACAGCUUCUACUCAGUGAUAUGUGACGAUACUCUCGUGUGAACUACUCACUUCAAGCCAUGCCACAUUUCAGUUGAGUUAAGGAUGAUAGGUUUGACUCAGCAUUUCAAAGUGAGAAAUUUCUUGUUCUUCAGCACAGCUCUGUUUUCUAUUUACUUUUGUGUUUCAGGAUCAUAAAAGUAUUACAUGGCCCACAUUCAUUUAAGCUUGAAUUCACAGGCUUGAUACUCUGGUCUAGAAUUUGCUGAUACGACCCGUAAUCCAUUGUGAGGGAUUCAUUUCAACCUGAGGAAAGCUCAUAAAACACUACUGGUGACCUUCUGUGCUCAUGAGGUGAGGAUGCUAAAUUUCUAGAUGAAAAAUUAUUUGACCCAGAAGGAGAAUUUGAAUCAGAAGUAAGGAUCUUCAUCAUGCUGUAUUACAAACAACCAAAGGAAUGUUAUCAACGGCCACUGUUAAUAGGUUUUAAAACAAGUUUCUAUUUGGGUCAUUUCUUAUUUGCUGUAUUUUCAUUGCAGAAACUAUGUAACUGUCCCUACCAUAUAGUUAGGUUUCAUAUAAAUGUGAAAUACCCACAUUAUUUUACCAGUGGAUAUGGUUCUUGGCAUAAAUGCUCUCAUCAUGUUCCCCCCUCUGCUCUUCCAGUGGGCAUGAUCAAUCUAUCAGAAGCUAGAGAAGCAGAAUAGAAGUGCAGGUAUUCUCCAUCUUGCAUGCCCCCCCCUCCCAAACAAUCUGACUCCCCAGAGGAAUCCCCAGGCUGUUUUGUAUUUUCCAAGCUGAUGAAGAGGACAGAAGAUAGUCCAUCGUUUGUAUUUUGAGCUGUAUGCUGCUUAGAAUGUCUCUUAAAGUUCAACUCAAUACUUGAAAUGAAAUGUCCCUCAGUAAAGGAUGGGUUAAAUCCUGACAGAAUCUUUUUCCAGCUGAAAUGUGUCGAUGUUUUUCAUACUCUAAAUAUUGCUAGUGUAGUGGGACAAUUCUACCAUAGUUAUUGUUUUAGAAAUCAGUCCUGUUUGUGGAUCUGUACACAGCUCUUUCUGACAUUUUUCUGUGCUUCCUUUCCACACUGCCAGACGAUAUGAGAAGGCCCAUAUUGUGUAGGAGAGAGUCUCCUGCAUCUUCUACCUUCCAAACACUGAAGUGAGGGAUAGUCACAGCAGUAGCUCCUUCUCUGUGCACAAGACUGUUGUGCUUCCUUGGCUCUACCUGAAGGAACAGUGCUGCUGCAUUAGCCCUCAUCUCAUCAGUGGAGGCCUCCAUUACUGAGGAAGAAAAUUUGUUACAUAUGCCGUAGCAGCAUAAAUAUAAUGAAUCUUACAAUCCUUUCAUUAAAAUAAUUUUUCUCUUUUUUUUUUUGUAGGAGCAUGCUUCUAUUUUUUUGUCCAUCUAAUAUAUCUUUUUAGAACAAAGUAUAAAAUGCAUUGUUUGUGUGUUGAGUGUGUCGCUGGCUGUACAAUCUGUGGAAAAAAACUGAAUUCAAGUUAGAUUAAUUUAUCAAUUAUUUAAUUUGUGAACUGUGUGUGUUUAUAUAUGUCUGUUAAAUUUUUUCAAAGGGAAGAACUUUAUUAAUAAAGUACAGCACCUGAACAAUUUU
This is an RNA transcript of Crotalus tigris (Tiger rattlesnake), 3829 nucleotides long. It is a transcript of the gene named D-aminoacyl-tRNA deacylase 1, with no coding region annotated. Lineage: Eukaryota; Metazoa; Chordata; Lepidosauria; Squamata; Viperidae. The record is from RefSeq and is a predicted model, not a curated record. The transcript has 8 exons.